UUCGCAUUGGGUGACGAGCGGCGGACGGGUGAGUAAUGUCUGGGAAUCUGCCCGAUGGAGGGGGAUAACUACUGGAAACGGUAGCUAAUACCGCAUAACGUCUCAAGACCAAAGAGGGGGACCUUCGGGCCUCUUGCCAUCGGAUGUGCCCAGAUGGGAUUAGCUAGUAGGUGGGGUAACGGCUCACCUAGGCGACGAUCCCUAGCUGGUCUGAGAGGAUGAUCAGCCACACUGGAACUGAGACACGGUCCAGACUCCUACGGGAGGCAGCAGUGGGGAAUAUUGCACAAUGGGCGCAAGCCUGAUGCAGCCAUGCCGCGUGUAUGAAGAAGGCCUUCGGGUUGUAAAGUACUUUCAGCG
This 360-nucleotide ribosomal RNA is filed under the name Citrobacter sp. RNAcentral's name for it is "bacterial SSU rRNA". It matches the Rfam family "Bacterial small subunit ribosomal RNA", at positions 78 to 441 of the family's 1533-position model. Lineage: Bacteria; Pseudomonadati; Pseudomonadota; Gammaproteobacteria; Enterobacterales; Enterobacteriaceae. The record is from RNAcentral.